CUCAGGAUGAACGCUAGCGACAGGCUUAACACAUGCAAGUCGAGGGGCAGCGAGGGCGUAGCAAUACGCCUGUCGGCGACCGGCGCACUGGUGAGUAACACGUAUGCGACCUGCCCCCCUACAGGGGGUAUAACCCGUAGAAAUGCGGACUAAUCCCCCCAUAGUCCUGGGUGCUGCAUGGCAUUCAGGGGAAAGGCCAGCCGGUAGGGGAUGGGCAUGCGGCGCAUUAGCUAGUUGGCGGGGCAACGGCCCACCAAGGCGACGAUGCGUAGGGGUUCUGAGAGGAAGGUCCCCCACACUGGUACUGAGACACGGACCAGACUCCUACGGGAGGCAGCAGUGAGGAAUAUUGGUCAAUGGGCGCAGGCCUGAACCAGCCAAGUCGCGUGAGGGAUGACGGUCCUACGGAUUGUAAACCUCUUUUGUCGGAGAGUAACGUGCGGGACGCGUCCCGUAUUGAGAGUACCCGAAGAAAAAGCAUCGGCUAACUCCGUG
Molecule: ribosomal RNA, 495 nt
Filed under: uncultured bacterium
Lineage: Bacteria
Description: bacterial SSU rRNA
Rfam family: Bacterial small subunit ribosomal RNA
Source: RNAcentral